UUUUGUAUAAUGGGUCAGCGACUUAUAUUCUGUAGCAAGGUUAACCGAAUAGGGGAGCCGAAGGGAAACCGAGUCUUAACUGGGCGUUAAGUUGCAGGGUAUAGACCCGAAACCCGGUGAUCUAGCCAUGGGCAGGUUGAAGGUUGGGUAACACUAACUGGAGGACCGAACCGACUAAUGUUGAAAAAUUAGCGGAUGACUUGUGGCUGGGGGUGAAAGGCCAAUCAAACCGGGAGAUAGCUGGUUCUCCCCGAAAGCUAUUUAGGUAGCGCCUCGUGAAUUCAUCUCCGGGGGUAGAGCACUGUUUCGGCAAGGGGGUCAUCCCGACUUACCAACCCGAUGCAAACUGCGAAUACCGGAGAAUGUUAUCACGGGAGACACACGGCGGGUGCUAACGUCCGUCGUGAAGAGGGAAACAACCCAGACCGCCAGCUAAGGUCCCAAAGUCAUGGUUAAGUGGGAAACGAUGUGGGAAGGCCCAGACAGCCAGGAUGUUGGCUUAGAAGCAGCCAUCAUUUAAAGAAAGCGUAAUAGCUCACUGGUCGAGUCGGCCUGCGCGGAA
Molecule: ribosomal RNA, 562 nt
Filed under: Escherichia coli
Lineage: Bacteria; Pseudomonadati; Pseudomonadota; Gammaproteobacteria; Enterobacterales; Enterobacteriaceae
Description: partial 23S ribosomal RNA
Rfam family: Bacterial large subunit ribosomal RNA
Source: RNAcentral